Molecule: ribosomal RNA, 451 nt
Filed under: Streptococcus mitis
Lineage: Bacteria; Bacillati; Bacillota; Bacilli; Lactobacillales; Streptococcaceae
Description: bacterial SSU rRNA
Rfam family: Bacterial small subunit ribosomal RNA
Source: RNAcentral
GACGAACGCCGGCGGCGUGCCUAAUACAUGCAAGUAGAACGCUGAAGGAGGAGCUUGCUUCUCUGGAUGAGUUGCGAACGGGUGAGUAACGCGUAGGUAACCUGCCUGGUAGCGGGGGAUAACUAUUGGAAACGAUAGCUAAUACCGCAUAAGAGUAGAUGUUGCAUGACAUUUGCUUAAAAGGUGCAAUUGCAUCACUACCAGAUGGACCUGCGUUGUAUUAGCUAGUUGGUGGGGUAACGGCUCACCAAGGCGACGAUACAUAGCCGACCUGAGAGGGUGAUCGGCCACACUGGGACUGAGACACGGCCCAGACUCCUACGGGAGGCAGCAGUAGGGAAUCUUCGGCAAUGGACGGAAGUCUGACCGAGCAACGCCGCGUGAGUGAAGAAGGUUUUCGGAUCGUAAAGCUCUGUUGUAAGAGAAGAACGAGUGUGAGAGUGGAAAGUUC